This 344-nucleotide long non-coding RNA is filed under the name Heterocephalus glaber (naked mole-rat). Its description in RNAcentral is "lncRNA (ENSHGLG00100045731.1)". The record is from RNAcentral. Lineage: Eukaryota; Metazoa; Chordata; Mammalia; Rodentia; Bathyergidae.
GGGAGAUUCUUAACAUCUACAUUUCUUCGAAGUAAUUGUUUUAAUAAUACCGUAAUUUUUUUUUUUUUUUUUUUGCAGCGCUGAGAACUGACCCCAGAGCCUCAGGCAGACAAUAGAAGGAAAUGGAAGAUUGGCUCUGAAAGGUUAAUUUACUUCUCUAAAGUCACAGUGUUGGAGCGGCUAUACCAAGGAUUUUUCGAAGCUCGACAGUCAAGCGCUCACCGAGCCCACUGACACUAAAUGGCAGGGUAAUACUUUUUAAUCUGUCCCCCAACCCUUGACUCCUAUACGGCCUCUUCUUGCUUUGUCUCUUACAUGCUUUUCCCUUUGUCUUCACCCUCGAC